CCAUAUACAAACCAAUCUCGGCAAUGACCAUGGAAGCUCGAGUCGGCGUAGUGGUGGAAGGAGGACAGAGGGCUCUCCACACAGCCACCGCCGUGAAUAACACCGUCGUAGACGCCGGAAACAGGAAGCUUUUACAGCAGCAACCUCAAACCUGCCAACAACAACAACAGAGUAAUAAACCGUCGCUGAAUCAGAAACAGGGCGGAUCCAUCUCGCAUCUCGUCGCCGGAGGAAUCUCCGGGGCCUUCGCUAAGACGUGCACCGCUCCUCUCGCUCGUCUCACCAUCUUGUUCC
RNAcentral lists this long non-coding RNA (294 nucleotides) under Brassica rapa (field mustard). RNAcentral describes it as "long non-coding RNA (BRAP_LNC002682)". The record is from RNAcentral. Lineage: Eukaryota; Viridiplantae; Streptophyta; Magnoliopsida; Brassicales; Brassicaceae.